This 164-nucleotide ribosomal RNA is filed under the name uncultured bacterium. RNAcentral's name for it is "partial 16S ribosomal RNA". It matches the Rfam family "Bacterial small subunit ribosomal RNA", at positions 355 to 511 of the family's 1533-position model. The record is from RNAcentral.
UAGGGAAUCUUCCACAAUGGGCGAAAGCCUGAUGGAGCAACGCCGCGUGUGUGAUGAAGGGUUUCGGCUCGUAAAACACUGUUGUAAGAGAAGAAUGACAUUGAGAGUAACUGUUCAAUGUGUGACGGUAUCUUACCAGAAAGGAACGGCUAAAUGCGUGCCGG